UACGUAGGGGCCUAGCGUUGUCCGGAAUUAUUGGGCGUAAAGAGCUCGUAGGCGGUUCGGCAAGUCGGAUGUGAAAUCUCCACGCUCAACGUGGAGGGGCCAUUCGAAACUGCCGUGACUCGAGUCCGGUAGGGGAGUGUGGAAUUCCCGGUGUAGCGGUGAAAUUCGUAGAUAUUCGCAAGAACACCAGUGGCGAAGGCGGC
Molecule: ribosomal RNA, 203 nt
Filed under: uncultured bacterium
Lineage: Bacteria
Description: partial 16S ribosomal RNA
Rfam family: Bacterial small subunit ribosomal RNA
Source: RNAcentral